UACUAAGUAUUUAAAGAAGAAUAAACCAUAGAAAUCGAUUUCAUAUUUCAAUUGGUCAUGAUACCACCCUAUCAAGACAAAAGUAGCUUCAAUAAAUAUAUCAAUACAAAUUUCAUACAACGAUGAGAUUGAUAUUAAUAAUCGUUAUUUUCCUCUUUCACAUCAAUCUUCUUCAUGCUUUCUCUUUAUCUUCUCGAUUUCUCCGUCCUCGAGUGCAUUUGGGUGAUGAAAUUGUGACGAACAAUAAACGUGGAGGUGGUGCGGCUAGUGGGCACGCUAGUGCCCACGGCAGCUCGUCCAGGGGACGAGCAUCGCGCGGCGGGCAAUCAACUGCAGGUGUAGUUCCAUUGUAUACAGCAGGAGCUAUGAACCAUCACAAAGUUAAUAGAAGCCAUCACCAUGCAAAUGACGGAAUUACCCUCAAUUGUAUUUGUUUUUCUACUUUACUUUUCAUCAUUUGUAGCAUAUUUGUUAAUAUAUUAUUUAUUUUGUAAUUAUAUAUAGUAUAUUUUGUUAGAGAUAAUAGUCAGAAACAUAUGUGAAAUAUCAUUUUCUUUUUACGAGUUUUUUUAUGUAAA
Solanum lycopersicum (tomato) is the source of this 578-nucleotide long non-coding RNA. RefSeq lists it as uncharacterized. Lineage: Eukaryota; Viridiplantae; Streptophyta; Magnoliopsida; Solanales; Solanaceae. The record is from RefSeq and is a predicted model, not a curated record.